UACAGAGGUCUCAAGCGUUGUUCGGAUUCAUUGGGCGUAAAGGGUGUGUAGGUGGCGCCGUAAGUCGGGUGUGAAAUUUCGGAGCUUAACUCCGAAACUGCAUUCGAUACUGCCGUGCUUGAGGACUGGAGAGGAGACUGGAAUUUACGGUGUAGCGGUGAAAUGCGUAGAUAUCGUAAGGAAGACCAGUGGCGAAGGCGGGUCUCUGGACAGUUCCUGACGCUGAGGCACGAAGGCCAGGGGAGCAAACAGG
This 253-nucleotide ribosomal RNA is filed under the name uncultured bacterium. Its description in RNAcentral is "partial 16S ribosomal RNA". It matches the Rfam family "Bacterial small subunit ribosomal RNA", at positions 524 to 776 of the family's 1533-position model. The record is from RNAcentral.